CAGCCGCCACGGGAAUACGUAGGUGGCAAGCGUUAUCCGGAAUUAUUGGGCGUAAAGCGCGCGUAGGCGGUUUUUUAAGUCUGAUGUGAAAGCCCACGGCUCAACCGUGGAGGGUCAUUGGAAAUUGGAAAACUUGAGUGCAGAAGAGGAAAGUGGAAUUCCAUGUGUAGCGGUGAAAUGCGCAGAGAUAUGGAGGAACGCCAGUGGCGAAGGCGACUUUCUGGUCUGUAACUGACGCUGAUGUGCGAAAGCGUGGGGAUCAAACAGGAUUAGAUACCCGUGUAGUCCCUGUCUCUUAUAA
RNAcentral lists this ribosomal RNA (301 nucleotides) under uncultured bacterium. RNAcentral's name for it is "partial 16S ribosomal RNA". It matches the Rfam family "Bacterial small subunit ribosomal RNA", at positions 509 to 809 of the family's 1533-position model. The record is from RNAcentral.